RNAcentral lists this ribosomal RNA (253 nucleotides) under uncultured bacterium. Its description in RNAcentral is "partial 16S ribosomal RNA". It matches the Rfam family "Bacterial small subunit ribosomal RNA", at positions 524 to 776 of the family's 1533-position model. The record is from RNAcentral.
UACGUAGGGGGCAAGCGUUGUCCGGAAUCAUUGGGCGUAAAGAGCGUGUAGGCGGCUUUACAGGUCCGUUGUGAAAACUCGAGGCUCAACCUCGAGACGCCGGUGGAAACCGUAAAGCUAGAGUCCGGAAGAGGAGAGUGGAAUUCCUGGUGUAGCGGUGAAAUGCGCAGAUAUCAGGAAGAACACCCGUGGCGAAGGCGGCUCUCUGGUACGGUACUGACGCUGAGACGCGAAAGCGUGGGGAGCGAACAGG